AGCCCGGCUACGAAUCACGUGUCAGCUGCCUGAGGCAGAGACUAGAGAGGAGGGGAGGGGGGGAAGCGCCUCAUUCCUUCUUCCACCGCCAUACUGUAUUUUAUAGUAACUCAUUUUUAUUCCUCUCUUUUACUCCCGCUCGUGGAAGGUUUUCCUGGAGAAUGAAGUGCGGUUUGGUUUCCUUGUCAACGGAAGAUGAAGUGAACAACUGAACAUCUCCCCAGUGCAGACUUGCUGGACCUUCCCUCCUGCUCUGGACCUCUCCCCUGGCGUCGGCACAGCUCAGAAGGAUGAAAGAAAAAGAAGCAAUAGGAGAGGGAUGGAAGAGGGGAGAGGAGUAAAAGGAGGAGGAGGAGGGCAGCAAUUGAAAUGGAGAAAAAUUCAACAGCGGUUCAGUUAAGGCUUAAAUAAUGAAAUGUUUAUAAGAUCCCCUCCUACUGACCUUUCCUUCUGGGUCAUUGCCCGCUCCCUCUCUGUCACCUUAGUUUUCAUCAGCACUUCAGCCACAGCAGCCUCGCUUUUAAUUUUCGCUUGUUAUUAUCAACAACAAAACAAACAAAUAAUCCCAGAAUGCAGCACCCUGCUUACAGACCUAAUUUCCAGGGUGGUGGGAUUUUUAUUUUUGUUUUUUAGAUGAAAUACGGUUACAUUGUUAAGUAUGCAAGUCAGUAGGAGUACUGGCAUGAUUAAGGACUAUUUCUGUGAGUUACAUUGGGACUAGAUUUGCAGUUAGGCAGUCCUAACUUGCAUCACUGUUGCAAUGGCCCCUUAUGUGCCAUUGCAGGGGUGCAGAACUGCUGGGCUGAAAGGAUUCCACAGCCAUGCCUCCUCCCAUGCUGAUGUGCCCCUUCCUCUUCAGGCCCACGCCUAUCUGGAAUGCCUCCUGCAUAGUAGGGCUGCUGCAGGAGGAAUCACAAUAUUAGUAGAGACAGUACUCGGCCUAGAGGACUCCUAAAAUGGAUAUUUCCUGAGUGGGGGGAAAGGGGACUUACAUCUGUCCUAUCCCUCCUUUGCACCAGACUAUCUAGCAUAAAGGGGCCAUAGGGCAGUCAUUGAAUGGGUACAAAGGCAACUGACAGUAGCAAGUUUGCAGGCGUAAGCCUUUAUACUGGAAGUGGUAAAAAAUUCCUGAUGUUGUAUUUCAAAUAAAAAUUGAACAUGGUUGUAAGUGAAGUUUUUUUGUUUUUCACAUCUAGCCCAACAGGUGCUGGUGGAACUGGUCCAGAGCAGAAUGGUCAGGUCUGAAAGCCUAAAAGGAAUGUUCAUGACCUAAGCAAACAAUCUUUUUAAUAAUAAUGCGCGAGCACACACACAUAGACACACACACACUUGUUAAAUAAAAGUUUGAGGGAAUAGUAACUUCUUUUGGUGAAUUUGUUAAAAUAUUAUUAUUUAAAUAAACUUUUUCAUUUUAUAUUUUCUCUCCACUUACAAUGUAAACAUGGACUGUUGUCUCAUACAUGACUCCAUAUUUAUAAUAUUUAUCAGUAAUAAAUUCUCCAUAGUGUACUGGUCUUAGUGCUGAAUUGUUUCCUAAAUGGUAUGUUAUACUACUAAAUCUCAUCGACAAUAAUUCAGUAUGGUACAUAGAAUUGGCAAAAUCCUACCUGCUUUAUACAUACAAGUAGUUGUUUUGAAGUCAGUGAUCUUAUUGAAAUCUAUGUGACUGCCCGUGUAAGUAAGAUAAAGGCAGAUUUGAUCCAUAGGGUCCAAUCCAAAGCCCUUUGAAGUUAGUGGGGAAACUCCCAUUGACUUCAGUAGGCCUUGGGUCAGGCCCUUAGUCCUGAUGCCCCCCUGCAGUUUCAGCAGUGUUGUAGAAUAACACAUUACAAGUUAUCCUAUAACUGUGCCUUGUUUUGUAACUUUCAACUUUUAUUUCAAAAUGCAAUGAAAUUGCUAAAUACAGUAGUUGCCAUUUCACUUUAAAAUGUAACCUUCAUCCAUAAUCAUCAGUUAUUUUUAUGACCAAAUGCUUUGUAUAAUAUUACACUAUCUUCAGAGCUGUUGGAAAAGAAGUUUUAUAGCUUGGAGGAAUGGUAUUGGCACCUUGAAGAUAUGAACUUUUGAUUGAAACUUUGAAAGGCCACAACUUCUGACAGGGCAGUGCAUUUUUGGGGGUGUUAAAUUUAUACUUAUUUCAAAUCAAGUGUUAUUAUUGCCACUGGAAUUUGUAACUGAAACAUGUUAGAUGGCCUCAAAUGUAACUAUAACAUGUAUAAACAUUAACAACAUUAACAUUAACAAACCUGUAUCAAUAAGCUUGGGCCAAAUUAUUUUUUUUACCAAGGUGCCUAAAGCCAGGCAUCUACUGUAAAUCCAUAAUUAGGCACUUACAUAAAAUCAGCUCGAUUUUCAGAGGUGUUAAUCACCCAUGGCUCAGACUGACCUCAGUGGGAACUUUCAGAGGUCAUCACAGCUAAAUAAAAUCCAAUUAUUUAUAUUUAGAUGCUUAAGUGUUGGAGCUAAUCAGAAAACAUUUUUUCUGAAAACUUUCCAUUUUCUCAAAAGUUGAAUUUUUCUUACCAGUUCUAUUUACUAUAGAUUAAGAUGCCUGACUGUACGAAUUCUAGUUUGAAAAUGUUUUAAUAUAUUUUUCCUUUAGCAAUAUACCCUGUCCACUGAGGAGAAUUACAUUCUUUCAAUUGACUUGAAUUGGGAGUUAGAUUAGACCCAAAAGAUCCUAGUGUACUCUGCCUUUGAAACUUAUAAAAUUGGUAAAAUUUCAUUUUAGUGCGUAUGAUUCUUUUGCCAUUACAUCGACAUUAGGGGUCAGAUGCUGCUCUCAUUUAUAGUUGUGCAACACUUUGACAUCAAUGAAUUGACCUCAGUGGGUUUGCACUGAGAACAGAAUUUUGCCUGAAGUCAUUACCAAGUAUGGCUUGCUAUCAGUCAUUUCUCAAUAUGGUAUUACAUACUGUAAAUGUCAAAAUAUAAUAAAUAAAGAAAAUAUAAUGUCCAUUAUACCUUCUUAAAACAGUCAGUCUUACCCCAGUGUGGCACACUGUUUUGUUGUAGCACAAAGACAACGUGGUACAUGUCUAAAUAACAGUAUCUAAGCAGAUGAUGCUAUUUCCAGUAAAGUCUAUGAGAAUUUUGUUAUUGAUUGCACUGGGAACAAGAUCAGGCAUCAGUUUUCCAAUAUGGUAGGAUGUGGUUCGAAUACAAAUAUGGUGUAAUGUACUACUUCAGUAGAAUAGACAAUAUGAUAUUGGAUGACUCAGUAGUUCCCUAGGUGGAAAAAUAGA
This is a long non-coding RNA of Mauremys mutica (yellowpond turtle), 3245 nucleotides long. RefSeq lists it as uncharacterized. The transcript has 3 exons. NCBI's taxonomy places the organism in Eukaryota, Metazoa, Chordata, Testudines, Geoemydidae. The record is from RefSeq and is a predicted model, not a curated record.